AUGCUAUGGAAGAUAUUCAGCGUCAUCAAGCGUCGCGGCGCGGGAGGUAGGAAGGAAGAAAAUAAAGUCGGCGACUUGGGAGAGCUAGGUGAUCGAAUCCGGAGGAGAGGAUCCAUGGUGCAGCGAAGGCGCGUCCUUCCCGUCGUCGUGGACGACGGCGACUGCGGGUACCUCCUCUUCAGGAUCAACGUCAACCGUCUCUUCUCCUCCUCCCAGUCACAGGAGACAAAGAUGCGGCGCCUCCCGGCUCCCGUCACGCGGUUCGCCACGAUGCCCCACAGGCCCGAGCGCAUCGACUUCGCGCUGGCCGGCGGCGGCGCCACCCUGGUCGGCGUAAGCAGCCAGCACCGCACCGUCCUGCACGACGCCGCGUCCGGCGUCACCUCGGCCGGGCCGGAGCUGGCGCACGACAAGGUCGGCUGCUGCUUCGUCGUCCCGCUCGGCCGUCGCCGGCUCUGCGCGGUCAAGCGCCGCCACUAUGACUAUCCCGCCAGCCCGGACGAGCCAACUGAGCCACUCGGCGAGACCCUGGUCGGCGGAGCCUGGCGCGCGCUCCCGGACCCGCCGCCCGACCUCAUCCGAAGUAGACGUGGCAACCCGGCGUGCCUGCUCACCGCCUGCUUCGCCGCGGGGAAGCGCCUCUGGGUCUCGGCCAGGGACAGGGGCACCUACUCCGUCGACACGGCCGCCCGCGCCGCCGAUGGGUGGCGCAAGGAGGGCGACUGGCAGCUGCCGUUCCAGUGCCGCGGCCUCCUGGCCCCCGACCUGGCCCCCGGCCUCUGCUUCGGCCUCUGCCCCCGGACCACCCGCCUCUGCGCCUGCGAUGUCCGGCGCUCGCCGCCGCCGGUCCGGUACGCCUGGGACGACACCCGACCGUGCUGGCCGACGUCCUUCAGCCAAGAGAACAUCGCCACCGUCGCGCGGCUCCCGGACAGCAGCCUGGCAUACCUCGGCGACGGCGAGUUCUGCAUCGCGUGGACCAUCGCGAUCAGCGAGGACAACUCGACCAUACGGCAGCGUGCGCUCUGGUUGAUGGGCGUCAAGAUCGGCAAGAACUCCCCGUCGGCUCCCCUCCGCCUGCUCCACCACAAGGCCUGCAUCUACGAGUUGCCGGACCGGGCUCUGAUGGCCUACGCUCUUCAUGCGGAUUGA
RNAcentral lists this ribosomal RNA (1152 nucleotides) under Triticum aestivum (bread wheat). RNAcentral's name for it is "partial small subunit ribosomal RNA". Lineage: Eukaryota; Viridiplantae; Streptophyta; Magnoliopsida; Poales; Poaceae. The record is from RNAcentral.